Molecule: long non-coding RNA, 587 nt
Organism: Amborella trichopoda
Lineage: Eukaryota; Viridiplantae; Streptophyta; Magnoliopsida; Amborellales; Amborellaceae
Source: RefSeq, a predicted model, not a curated record
CUAAGACAGAGAGAGAAGAAGGAAAGAGUGAGGGAGAGAGAGCAUGGAAGAAAAUGAAGGAAAGAGGAGGGUGUGUGAACCAAAAAAGAGUCGAUCUUUCCCUUCAAACUCGAUCUGAGUAUAAAAAGGAGGUCAAAUCUAGCGAUGCAAAACAUAGACUGGCACAAGGACCAGAUGGCACAUUUACUGUGUCCGGGGAUCAAGGUGAGAAGAAAAAGAUCAUUCGUAUCAAUGAAUCCACUAAAGUCCUAUAAUUAUGGAAGCUUGUCCUGCUAUGCAAAAUGGAGGAAAGGAGAGUGAAGCCAAGGAGGACGAUGAGAAAACAAAGAUAUGAGAAGACCGAUAUUAGGUGUAUUGUCAUGCUAUGUGUGAGGAAUCGAGAUGAAAUUUUCAACCAAGAAGAGGGCGAGGUGUAAUGGCCCCCCUGGCCGGUCAGGAGGGAGGGCAUGCUCGUAAACCUAAUGUGAAGGAGAAGGGUAUACUUAGUUGGCCAAAGAAAUUUAUGAGGCAGGGGAAUUGACGAGCGUCUUGUAUAGUUAUGGGUCUCUUACAUAUUAGUAAUUUGAUAUCUUUCUAGUUGGAUAUGU